Molecule: small RNA, 329 nt
Filed under: Pan troglodytes (chimpanzee)
Lineage: Eukaryota; Metazoa; Chordata; Mammalia; Primates; Hominidae
Description: retained intron
Source: RNAcentral
AGAUAUAGCCUGGGGGGUCAUGUACUCAGUUUUCUUCUGUUGAGAACAUUGCCAGAGUGAUUUUCUUUGUUUUUUCCUUUUUAGGAACAAAACAUUACCCUUUCAUUUGUACUGCCUCCUUCCACACGAGUGCCCCUUUGGCCAAAGAAGAUUAUUACCAGAUAUUAGGAGUGCCUCGAAAUGCCAGCCAGAAAGAGAUCAAGAAAGCCUAUUAUCAGCUUGCCAAGAAGUAUCACCCUGACACAAAUAAGGAUGAUCCCAAAGCCAAGGAGAAGUUCUCCCAGCUGGCAGAAGCCUAUGAGGUUUUGAGUGAUGAGGUGAAGAGGAAG